This 530-nucleotide ribosomal RNA is filed under the name uncultured bacterium. RNAcentral's name for it is "partial 16S ribosomal RNA". It matches the Rfam family "Bacterial small subunit ribosomal RNA", at positions 355 to 874 of the family's 1533-position model. The record is from RNAcentral.
UGGGGAAUAUUGCACAAUGGGCGCAAGCCUGAUGCAGCCAUGCCGCGUGUGUGAAGAAGGCCUUCGGGUUGUAAAGCACUUUCAGCGAGGAGGAAGGUGGUGAGCUUAAUACGCUCAUCAAUUGACGUUACUCGCAGAAGAAGCACCGGCUAACUCCGUGCCAGCAGCCGCGGUAAUACGGAGGGUGCAAGCGUUAAUCGGAAUUACUGGGCGUAAAGCGCACGCAGGCGGUUUGUUAAGUCAGNUGUGAAAUCCCCGGGCUCAACCUGGGAACUGCAUUUGAAACUGGCAAGCUAGAGUCUCGUAGAGGGGGGUAGAAUUCCAGGUGUAGCGGUGAAAUGCGUAGAGAUCUGGAGGAAUACCGGUGGCGAAGGCGGCCCCCCUGGACGAAGACUGACGCUCAGGUGCGAAAGCGUGGGGCAGCAAACAGGAUUAGAUACCCUGGUAGUCCAGCGCUGUAAACGAUGUCGAUUUGGAGGUUGUGCCCUUGAGGCGUGGCUUCCGGAGCUAACGCGUUAAAUCGACCGCCU